GGCCGACUGGCGAAAUGGCAUCGCGUCUGACUACGAUCGCUCGUGAUCCAUAACAGCUAAUCAGGAGAUUGCAGGUUCGACCCCUGCGUCGGUCA
Obba rivulosa is the source of this 95-nucleotide non-coding RNA. Lineage: Eukaryota; Fungi; Basidiomycota; Agaricomycetes; Polyporales; Gelatoporiaceae. The record is from the annotation of a GenBank genome assembly.